GGGGUUAAAUUAAUUAAUUAGUAAUAAAAAAAAAAUUUUUAAAUAAAAAUAUAUUUUAAUGGGGGUUAAAGUAUAUAUAAUAAGAAAAAAUUUAUAAUUUUAUAGGGGAGUAGUAUUGUAAAAGAAUGUUGAAAUAUUUGAAAUAUUAAUUAUUAGGAAAGUAGAUUUUAUUUAUUGUAUCUUGGGUAUCAGAGUUUAUUAAUAAUAUUUUUUAAAUAAAAAUUUUUCGAAUUUAAAAGAGUUAAUUAAUUAAAAAUUUUUAUUGUUUCAUAAAUAUUUAAAAUAAUUAAUUAGAAAUGAAAUGUUAAUCGUUUUUGAAGAUAUCUAAUUUUUUUAGAAAUAAAUUUAAUUUAGAAUUUUUUUUUAUUAUUUGAAAAAUUUAAUUUUAAAUAAUAAAAAAAAAUUUAAUAUUUUAGGGGAUAAUCUUUAAAUUAAAUUUUUAUAAUAUAAUUUAAUAGAUAUUAAAAUUUUUAAGAUUUAUAUUGUUUAAAAAUUAUAUUUUUUUAUAAAAAUUUUUAUUUUUAAAUAAAAUUUUUAAUUUAUUUUAUUUAAUUUUAUAUAAAAAAAUAAUUUUUAAUUUAAAUAAAUAAGAUAUAAUGAUAAAAUUAGUAUAAAUUAAAAAAUUUAAUAAUUUUUUUUUUAAUAAAUAAAUAAAAGGAAUUCGGCAAAAUUAAUAAGUAAAUUCACCUGUUUAUCAAAAACAUGUCUUUUUGGGUAUAAUUUAAGGUUGAAUCUGCCCACUGAUUUUAUUAAAGGGCUGCAGUAUAUUGACUGUACAAAGGUAGCAUAAUCAUUAGUCUUUUGAAAGGAGACUUGUAUGAAAAGAUUUGAUGAAAUUUAAACUGUCUCUUAUUUAUAUUUAAAACUUAAUUUUUUAGUAAAAAAGCUAAAAUAGGUUUAAAAGACGAGAAGACCCUAUAGAGUUUUAUAAUUUAUUUAAUUGAUGAUUUUUAUAAAAGUUUAAAUAGAGAUUAAAUUAAUUAUUUUGUUGGGGUGAUAAAAAAAUUAAAUAAACUUUUUUUAGAUAAAAACAUAAAUUAGUGAAUAAAUGAUCCAUAAUUUAUGAUUAUAAGAUAAAAUUACCUUAGGGAUAACAGCGUAAUUUUUUUUUUUAGGUCUAAUAAGAAAAAAAGUUUGCGACCUCGAUGUUGGAUUAAGAUAAAAUUUAAAUGUAGAAGUUUAAAAUUUUUGAUCUGUUCGAUCAUUAAAAUCUUACAUGAUCUGAGUUCAAACCGGCGUAAGCCAGGUUGGUUUCUAUCUUUAGGAAAAUGUAAUAUUUUAGUACGAAAGGAUUAAAUAUUAAAAAUAAUUUUAGUUAGAAGAAUUAUAUUAAUAUAAAAUUUAUAAAUUUUUAUAUUAGAUAAAUAUUC
This 1370-nucleotide ribosomal RNA is filed under the name Acerbas sarala chinensis. Its description in RNAcentral is "16S ribosomal RNA". Lineage: Eukaryota; Metazoa; Arthropoda; Insecta; Lepidoptera; Hesperiidae. The record is from RNAcentral.